Long non-coding RNA from Helianthus annuus (common sunflower), 215 nucleotides. RefSeq lists it as uncharacterized. Lineage: Eukaryota; Viridiplantae; Streptophyta; Magnoliopsida; Asterales; Asteraceae. The transcript is spliced from 2 exons. The record is from RefSeq and is a predicted model, not a curated record.
CUCAUCAGAUGGAAAAGAAUCAAAGGUUGAGGUCUGAGCUUCAAAAGAGGGAUCAGGAACUCGAAGACUAUAAAUCCAGAGAAUUAAAGGCUGAAAAUAGUCACCCCGCUGGUCAUUGGAAUGAUAAUAGCUAUUUACCUCCAACAAAGAGUCCAAUAGUCCUCAAUAAAGAUUUCAGAGAGACCCAAAAGGUUAAGGAAGCAGUUACGAUGGUU